This 72-nucleotide transfer RNA is filed under the name Paracoccus caeni. Its description in RNAcentral is "Paracoccus sp. MJ17 tRNA". It matches the Rfam family "tRNA". From Rfam's summary of the family: Transfer RNA (tRNA) molecules are approximately 80 nucleotides in length. Their secondary structure includes four short double-helical elements and three loops (D, anti-codon, and T loops). The record is from Rfam by way of RNAcentral. RNAcentral also lists the same sequence under 7 other names. Lineage: Bacteria; Pseudomonadati; Pseudomonadota; Alphaproteobacteria; Rhodobacterales; Paracoccaceae.
GGGUGAUUAGCUCAGUGGUAGAGCGCUUCGUUCACAUCGAAGAUGUCAGCGGUUCAAAUCCGUUAUCACCCA